This 458-nucleotide ribosomal RNA is filed under the name Microbacterium trichothecenolyticum. RNAcentral describes it as "bacterial SSU rRNA". It matches the Rfam family "Bacterial small subunit ribosomal RNA", at positions 1 to 477 of the family's 1533-position model. The record is from RNAcentral. Lineage: Bacteria; Bacillati; Actinomycetota; Actinomycetes; Micrococcales; Microbacteriaceae.
UAGAGUUUGAUCCAUGGCUCAGGAUGAACGCUGGCGGCGUGCUUAACACAUGCAAGUCGAACGGUGAAGCCAAGCUUGCUUGGUGGAUCAGUGGCGAACGGGUGAGUAACACGUGAGCAACCUGCCCUGGACUCUGGGAUAAGCGCUGGAAACGGCGUCUAAUACUGGAUAUGAGCUCUUACCGCAUGGUGGGGGUUGGAAAGAUUUUUCGGUCUGGGAUGGGCUCGCGGCCUAUCAGCUUGUUGGUGAGGUAAUGGCUCACCAAGGCGUCGACGGGUAGCCGGCCUGAGAGGGUGACCGGCCACACUGGGACUGAGACACGGCCCAGACUCCUACGGGAGGCAGCAGUGGGGAAUAUUGCACAAUGGGCGGAAGCCUGAUGCAGCAACGCCGCGUGAGGGAUGACGGCCUUCGGGUUGUAAACCUCUUUUAGCAGGGAAGAAGCGUGAGUGACGGUA